CUCGACGUUACCUACAAGUCCUUGCAGAACUGCUUGGUACACCUCUGCUGGAGGCCGCGGUGAAAGUGUGCUGCGGCUGCAAGAUGCCGACCGGGCCGUUUCGUGGUCCUCCCGCUUUUAGCUACGUUUAUGCAUCGCAAACGAGCAGCAAACAUUGUUGCACCCGUGGUUGGGGGACCGACGACACAAGAGAAAGAGGGAGCCGACGAACGGACGAGAGGCGCCCCACUGCUGCACGUGCCGGCCGGCGCAUCUACCAACAACCUGAUCCGUUCCACCGCCUUUUCGGCGAACCGCCCACUCAGUGCGAGGCGCGGGCGCCCCCAACAAGGACGAACGCCUCGGUGCGGCCACAAGAGAACGUGGACUUUGUGUUUCUUCUCCCUUUCCCUUCUCCUUUCUUCAAUAUCUUUUGUAAAUAAACCAGUCUCGAAACGGA
Dermacentor albipictus is the source of this 439-nucleotide long non-coding RNA. RefSeq lists it as uncharacterized. The record is from RefSeq and is a predicted model, not a curated record. Lineage: Eukaryota; Metazoa; Arthropoda; Arachnida; Ixodida; Ixodidae.